CGGACCUGCGGAGCCCACCCGCGGUGCACUCCCGGGAGCUGUGCUGCCAAGGCCAGCAGCUCUGCUGCCCCCGAGACUUCCUCGCGUCUCACCCCACCCGCCCUCAGCGGGCCGCCGCCUGCUGUUCGCGGCGCGCACACACUGAUUGGCUUGGGCUGCAGCUAGGGAGCCCGCCGAGCAAUCAGCCCCUGCGGAGAACCAGCGUGGGCGAGCGCUGGGCUGCAAAAAGAGGCUGGAUUUUCCUACCCAGGCGGGUUAGAACGUACCCUCCCGCCUGCCCAUCUUACAUCUCCCCGCAGGCGUCACCCUAUUUGACUUCCGACAGUGGCACAUGGCAGACCAGGGCCUGCCGGUUCCAACGCCCAGCAGGAAAACAACCAGAAACCCACAGAAGCAGAACCCAAGCAGAGGAGAGCAGCUCUGGAGAGUGGAGUGGACACAAGAAAUGAUGAUAUCCUCAGACCCUGCAGUUCCAGCAGCCAUCUGGUCUCCUUAGCAGAGGAGUAAAAAGUAUCCUCCACUUAACUUCUCUCAGGCCAGUGGGGAGAUGGCUCAGCAGAAAGGGCACUUACCACUAAGACCCGUGACCCAACUUCCAUUCCUAGAGCCCACAUAGUAGAGAGAGAACCUCAUCUUGUCCUCUGACCUCCACAUAUACUCGGAGUCAUGGCUGGUGGGAUGCCCCUUCAGGCUGUCUUGGAUCACGGUGAAAUGUACCCACAUGGAGUCAGUCACUCUAGGAUAUAAAAGCAGGCCUCUGACAGUACACGUCAUCUCUAACCCUGCAAGCGCAUCUCAGAGGCAGUUGGUCUUCCACUGUGAGACAGAAUGAAGAAGGGCGUCUUCCUACAGUUCAGUAGAGGAGCCAGUCCAGGAAGAACAAAGCCAGCCCCAGGGUAAAGGAUUUUUUCAAGAGCCUCCUCUGCCUAGGAUUCUUUUACGUGGUCACCCAUCAGGGAAGCCAGAGGUAUUAAGCUUCAGCCUUUCUUCAUAGUGGGCACCAUUUGAGGGAACAGCUGUGAAGUCUCACCUGCCCUACCUCUGGUCUUGACACACCUUAGAUGAGCUAAGGGUCAAAGAUGACCCCAAAGAUCUUAAGGAGACCAAGAAGGCCCAGGGAAGGUGGGGUCCACCUGCUUGUCUGAGUGACUUCUGUGCUGUAGACUGUUGUGGACCUCAGCACCACCCACCCUGACCUCUAGAGAAAUGAAACUACCUUUGCAUGAGAGGAAGCAGGGGAAUUGCUUUAAGUGUGAUUGCAACCCCCCAGACACCCCAAACUAGUUCUUCAUCACCAUCUGGAAGAAGAUCCCACAGGAAACAGAAAUCAAGCUCUUACUGCUGACGCUGAACUGUGCAAGAACAUGCUGGGUCUGUGGAGAAACUGAGACUCAUUGAGCUGUCAAACAGCAGAGCCAAAUGACAAUAGAGCCAACUCUCCCAUGAAACAGUAGCUUGCAGGCUCAGAUGUUUUUGAAAGGCAGGUAUAAGACCAUGUCUAUCUUUCUCUAUGUUUAAUGGUGUGUGUGUGUGUGUGUGUGUGUGUGUGUGUGUGUGUGUGUGUGUGUGUGUGUGUGUGUGUGUAAGGUUUCUCUAUUUAGUUCAUACUGGCCUUGAAUUUGUAGCAAUCCUCCUGCCUCUGCUUCACCAGUGCUAUAAUCACAGGCAGCUUGAAUGCCAAGAGAUUUGUAUUAAAUAUUAGCAGUGGUCAAAUAUGUGCACUUCUAGGAAGAAAUGUGUACUUCCUUUUCUUUAAAAAAUUUUUAAUGUAUUUUAUGUAUGUGGGUGUUUUGCUUGCAUGUAUGGACACCACAUGUGUGUAAUGCCAACAGAAGUCAGAAGAGAGCAUUGGACCCCCUGAAACUGGAGUUAUGACAGUUGUGAGUCAUCAUGUGGGUGCCAAAACUUGAAUACAAGUCCUCUGGAGGAGAGAUAGGGCUCUUAACCACUGAACCAUCUCUCCAGCCUGUUUCCUGUUCUUCUUCUUUUUUUAAGUCUUCCACUUCUGCUGUUUUCAUUUUGAAAUCAAAUUCUUUCCUGAAGACAAGGUCUAACUAUCUUCCUUAAACUCCUAGAGCUCCUCUUGCCUCAGUCUCCAAGAUGCUGGGCUUCCAGGAAUUCAGCGGCCUACGCAGCUUGUGUUCAAUGCACACUAGCACACUGAAUUUUAUUGUAUGUACUGAGACAGAGUCUUAUUGCCUAGGGUGGUCUUGAAUACCUGAACUUAAGAUAUCCUCAUGCCUCAGCCUCCUAAGUAGUUGGAACAAUAAAGGCCUGCAUGUAUGCCUACAUACACAUUUUAAAAUACUUAGAUGUGAUACAAAAGAAUGAAACAGCCUUUUAGAAAACAAAUAGCAAAAAUUUCCCUUUAUAAAUUCAGAAUAAAAUUUUAGGCCAAUGUAAAAAAUUUUUUGGUGUUUUUUUGUUUGUUUGUUUUGUUUUGUUUUUCAGACAUUGUCUCACUAUAUAGCCAUAGCUAGCCUGAAACUCGCUGUGUAGACAGGCUGGCCUCAAACUCGAAGUGAUCCACCUGCCUCUGCUUCAUGAGUGCUGGGAUAAAAGGUGUGUGCCACUAUACCUACCCAAGGUAAUAUUUUAGCACCACUAAAAUGGCAUUUCUAAGGGAUUAGCACGUUCUGUAUUUUCCAUGUUUAUAAUAUUCUAGCUUAUUAUAAUGGGCACACUUUACUUUGACAAUGAGAGAAAAACCAAUAAAGCCAAAUAAUAGGAAUUUUUUUAAAGAUUUAUUUAUUUAUUAUGUAUACAGAAGAGAGUGCCAGAUCUCAUUACAGAUGGUUGUGAGCCACCAUGUGGGUGCUGGGAAUUGAACUCAGGACCUCUGGAAGAGCAGUCAGUGCUCUUAACCUCUGAGCCAACUCUCCAGUCCCAGGAAUUUUAUUUUUAUUUACUUAGGCUGUUUGAAAGAUGAUCUUUCUUUGUAGCUGAGGCUGACCUUAAACAGAAGAUCCUCCUGCCUCUGCCUCUCAAGUGCUGGGGUUAUAGGCAGGUACCACCACACCUAGCAAAAUGAUAGAACUUUUAAUGGGGAGAGAAGGAGGUGAUUUGAUGUUCAGGAACAAAUGUGAGGAAGUGGGCGCUUUCCCUCCUCCCUCGCUAAGAAUGCACAUUGGGGUAAUUUGGAGAAGGAGCUGAUUACAGCUGGGGAAGGUGCAGGGACUUGUGCUCUUUGUGGCAAUCCCACAAGUAGCAAUGUGACCUAGAGGAAGCACUCAACUGAUGAGCCACAUCUGAGCUCCUCACUGGGGGAGCCUAAGCAAGCGUUCCACUGCUGAAUCACAUUCCCAGGCCCGUUGUUCCAUUGUAUUCCUUGCCCAGUUCUCUGAUUCAGUGGUUGUCAUCCCUCUCAAUACUCAUGACAGAGCAGAGGAACAUUAAACUGAGAGACACUUAGCAUGGAUCACUUCAGGAAGUGGCCCAGCCAGGUCCUAGCACAAGGUGUCUGCUUCCAGAGCCCAGUGGAAACAGUCUUUAGUGGAAGUCAAAAAAGGGGUGGGCUCACACAGACAGCAAGGUACAAGCUGACCUAGAAGGGUGAGCAGGCAGAUGUGCAGGGCAGAAAUAGCUCUGGCUAAGGAAAGAUGCAGGUAGUCAACGUUGGUGUAUAAUCCUAGAACCUAGAAGGAUGAGGCACGAUUAUGGGCUAGCCUGGAGUAUAUAGUAAGCCCCCGUUUCAGAAGGAGGGAAUGGUAGAUUAGUGCAUUAGUGCUAGGAUGGUGGUGCACACCUGUAAUCCUAGCUUCUUGGGAGGCAGAGGCAGGAAGGUCAUGAAUUUGAAGCCAGCCAGCCUAAGCAAUUUAGCAAGAUCACAUUUAAAGGGGGACAAAAGACUGGGCUAUUGCUCAGUGGGAAAAGCACUUAACAUGCAAAUAUGAGGACUGAGUUCAGAACUCUAGAAGCAAUGUAAAAAACUCAAUGCCAUACCACACGUCUGUAAUCCCUACUCUCCUUCAGUGAGGUGGGAGGCUGAGAAUCCUUGGACGCUUGUGGGCCAGCUAGCCCAAAGCAUGCAGUAGUGAACAAGAGACCCAGUUCUCUGACCUACACACUUGUACCAUGGUACAUAUGCCCAUACUUACCCACAGGAAUGAACACACACACACACACACACACCAAGUAAGUGUGGGAGCUGUUGGUUUCUAGAUGUCCCUGUUACCUUCCCUUUAUGGCCCUCAUGUACUGCAGUUGUUUUCUUACAGUGCCACAGAACCAUAACAGAGCCACUUCCCUCGAUGUCUGCCUUCAAACCUGCUCUGAGCAUGUCAGUCGUCACCCUGUCCCUCCUUUCUAACCCCAGCUUCCUGCAGCUCAGGCCACCACACCCAUCUUCAGUUUGAUGUGCAGUCUCUGUCACCUUUUUUGUCUCAUCUUCCUCCACCCAAUGUUAGGAACACUUUUUGCAGACUGCCAGAGAGAAUUCAACAGCCACACCUAGCUUGGCAUGGGGGGACACACACACCUGUAAACCCAAUACACGAGGCUGAGGCAGGAGCAAUGCCUGUUUCAGGCCAGUGUGGGCUACACAGCAAAACUGUCUCAAAAGACAAAAACCUCAACAGCAACAGGAACAACUGCUCCAGCCUGGUCCCUGGAGGCCACCCCGAUCCUGGGUUGCUGUUUUUUUCUGGACCUAGUCUCCAGUAUUGGUGAUACCCAGCACACAGUAGAGGACCCACUGGAAAGGACCUCAUUCCUCCAAGUGGGAAAAGCCAGUGUUAGACUUGAACCUCUUGGGCCAGUCUGAUGCUACACUUUUUAGAAUUGGGAUUGACGAGAAUGACAACUUAAAGGGGUUAUUUAUUUAAUAAGAGACAGCAUUGUCCUCCCCAACUGAGGCUCCUUGGAAAUAGUACCAGGUAAGUCAGUGACACUGAGCACAUUAGAGUUUUCUGGAGUUAAAUUCAGAAUUAGGACAAGGUAGGAAAAAAUCUAUGCUCAUUGAAUAGAAAAUGCAAUUGUCUGUCAGCGCAGGAACUGAGUGUCUGCAGCAAAUUAUAUUUAGGACUUUAUUGUCGCGGGUAGAUUGGCUAAUGCCUGGUUUUAAGUGUGGGCUUCUAAUGCUGUUACUCCUGGUUAACUCUGCCUGCUAGGUAACCUUGUGGAACAAAUGACUGCAUUGCUUGAAUAACAUAUUUGAUCAAAUAGGACAAUUCUUUGAAAAAUUGAGUUCUCUGUGGCAAUUUGAGACCUGUAAUCAGCAAAUUAGAUGAUUACAGCAGGGAUAAAAAUAGUCUUCUAACAAUGUCCAAGGUAUAAAUGUGACUUGAAUUUCAAACUGCUGAACAUGUGGUAGGAAAAUGCACGGUUGGGUAAAUAGGACGAGACAUUAUCAGACCUGAUUUCCCUUCCAUCCCUGCUCUGAGCUACAGCCUAAUUUUGUCUGAAUAUCUUGCAAUCUCCUAUGCAGCUGAGUUGGAAGGAGGAGAGAGGUGGGUCAGGCACUGUGUUCAUAUCUUAAAGGGCAUACCUGUCUGCCUCAGAAACACAGUCCACAUGACCUUAGUCCACAUGACUCAUCUAUCCACUUGGUAUGAAAGGACCUCUAAAAGACAGCAAGCUGUUUUACCACCUGGGGAAGAUGGCACUGGAAAGCUUUCCAUGCCAACAUCUAAGUACCAAUGUUUUAGGCAGUGGUUAGAGAAAUGACAGAGACUCUGGUAAACUGUGAGCUGGGGAAGAGACUGGUGUGGUGGACCAAUAGGCUCUGUCCCUAUGUCAGAUGCAAGAAUGUUUCUGCUCUUGAUUCUUCAACCAGUGACCUUCCUGAUGAUCACCUGGCCUCAGCUGCUUUUGGCUGAAUGGUAGAACAGAAAGAAUGCUGUAAACAGGUCUACAGAGGCAUCAGCCACAGACUUGUUACCAGAAGAUGGGAGCUUUGCUAAGGGACCUGUCACUCACUAGUGCUUCCCAGGGUUUUAUGAUGAGCCACAGGAAUUACCAAAUAUUAUAGAUUUUAUUCACCCAUGAGGAAUUCUUUGUUAGUACAGAUGGCAUUGGCAUUUGACAAGCUCCAUGCUAGGCAUGAUGGUGUAUAACUGUAAUCCUAACACUAAAGAGGCUGAGACAGGAGGACUGUUUAAGGCCAGUGUGGGUUACACAGUGAGACUCUGUAUCAAAUAUCUAACUACUUUUUUAUUUGUUGUAAUAUAGGAUCUUUUUAUGUAGCCCAGGCUGCCCUUGGUUGGACUCUCCUGCCUGAGCAUCCUGGGUGCUAGGACUACAGGUAUAGGCCACCAUGGUAGCCUUUGCUUUUUAAGACAGGAGUGCUUCUGCUUGAGACUUAGCUGGGUGUGGUGCACCCCUUUAAUCCCAGCACUCGGGAGGCAGAGGCAGGUGGAUCUCUAUGAAUUUGAGGCCAGGCUGGUCUACAGAGCGAGAUCCAGGACAGCCAGGGCUGUUACAGAGAAACCAUCUUGAAAAACACAACAAAAAGAGAAAUAACUAGUUAGGAAUAAUGUUAUUUGGAUAGAUGUAGACUUGUUUUAAAAGUUUUAUCUGUAUGAAUGUUUUGCCUGCAUGUAUGCCUGUGAACCACAUACAUGCAGCACCAAAGGAAGCCAGAAAAGGCAUUAAAUUUCCUGAAACUAGAGUUAUAGAGGUGAGCUGGGAAUCAAACCUGGGCUCUCUAGGAGAGCAACCAGUGCUGUUAACCAUUGAGCCAUCUUUCCAGCCCCAGGUGUAGGUUUCUGAUACACUGACUAGGAAGACUAUUAAAACUUCCAGAACUAGCCGGGCGGCAGUUGUGCAUGCCUUUAAUCCCAGCACUUGGGAGGCAGAGCCAGACGGAUCUCUGUGAGUUCGAGGCCAGCCUGGUUUACAUGGCAAGAUCCAGGACAGGCACCAAAACUAUACAGAGAAACCCUGUCUUGAAAUGCGCCCCCCCAGCCCCAAGAAAACCAGAUUCAAGUAAGUUGAAAAUAAAAGUGGCACUUACUUGCUCAGUCAUCUUCCUGUGUGUAUAUACAAACUGAGGCAAUGAGAAAGUGAAAAUAUAAUGACCAACAAAGGUGAUCAAAAUGUACACACUAGGCCUAAAGUGAUCAGCAGCAGGGCUUUGGGUGUUUCUAUAGCCUAUCAGAAAAUAAACUGCACUAAAUGUCCUGACCUCACUUUAGCUAUGUCAUCUAACUUUGCACCCCAUCCCCUUCCUGUCUUUUGAGUAGCCCAGGGUAACCUAAAACUUUGGAACCUUCCACAUGCUGGUUCUGCAGGUGUACACCAAUGUGCCUAGGUUCAUUUCCUUAGCAGCUGUUUCAGGCUAUGUUAAAUUGUUUAAACAAAAUCUCUCAUAUUUUCUUUAGAUUUGGAUAAGGGUGAAGAACAUGAACUAGAGCUCUGUAAUGACCUUUAACUAGUCUGGAGAGAUGACACUAAUAAAAUUCCCUGAGUGUGGAACAGCUUCACUAGCACUGCCUACCACAGCUAAUGACUCUAGUGUAAAUAGACACCUGUGUAGGGCAUUGUAGAAGAGUCUCAUGGAAGUCUAGGCUACAUGGCAAGCUCUGGG
Long non-coding RNA from Peromyscus californicus insignis, 7525 nucleotides. RefSeq lists it as uncharacterized. NCBI's taxonomy places the organism in Eukaryota, Metazoa, Chordata, Mammalia, Rodentia, Cricetidae. The record is from RefSeq and is a predicted model, not a curated record. The transcript has 3 exons.